Molecule: long non-coding RNA, 473 nt
Organism: Xiphophorus hellerii (green swordtail)
Lineage: Eukaryota; Metazoa; Chordata; Actinopteri; Cyprinodontiformes; Poeciliidae
Exons: 3
Source: RefSeq, a predicted model, not a curated record
CGCACAGCAUUUCCACGUCAGUGUGUUUACCAAAGCCGGGCUAACAGCUACAGGAAGUGCUGUCAGCUGUUCAUCUAUGGACUGUUUUUGGGGGGAAUGAUUGAUUAUGCACUAAUGAGAGAGAUCCCGCCAUCACACGGUGGAAUGUCUGAGUAUUGUGGUUUGUCUGUUUCUGACAGUGAGCUGAACUUUGGUCUCCUUGAUUCACUGUUGUCCGACUAGCCCGUUUAGCUUGUCGAGAAAAAAAAAAAGGCAGCACCAGCUCCGCAAGGACUCCUUGUUUGAAUCAGCAGCCUCACGAAGGAAGAGAAGCAGCAUGGUGGACAAAAACAUCUACAUUGUCCAAGGUGAAAUAACCACAGUUGUUGGAGCUAUUAAGAGAAACUCUCGAUGGAAUAACCAUACUUCACUGGAUGAAGAACAAGACCCAUUACUGAACAGCUUCGGCCAUCUCAAGGAAAUACUCAACAACA